ACCCAGAUGGCUCAGUUGGGAGAGUGUAUGACUCUUAAUUUAAAGUUGUGGGUUCAAGUCCCACCUUUGGUG
RNAcentral lists this transfer RNA (72 nucleotides) under Canis lupus familiaris (dog). It matches the Rfam family "tRNA". From Rfam's summary of the family: Transfer RNA (tRNA) molecules are approximately 80 nucleotides in length. Their secondary structure includes four short double-helical elements and three loops (D, anti-codon, and T loops). Further hydrogen bonds mediate the characteristic L-shaped molecular structure. tRNAs have two regions of fundamental functional importance: the anti-codon, which is responsible for specific mRNA codon recognition, and the 3' end, to which the tRNAs corresponding amino acid is attached (by aminoacyl-tRNA synthetases). tRNAs cope with the degeneracy of the genetic code in two manners: having more than one tRNA (with a specific anti-codon) for a particular amino acid; and 'wobble' base-pairing, i.e. permitting non-standard base-pairing at the 3rd anti-codon position. Lineage: Eukaryota; Metazoa; Chordata; Mammalia; Carnivora; Canidae. The record is from Rfam by way of RNAcentral. RNAcentral also lists the same sequence under 1 other name.